This 71-nucleotide transfer RNA is filed under the name Pareuchiloglanis sinensis. RNAcentral's name for it is "tRNA-Ser". It matches the Rfam family "tRNA". From Rfam's summary of the family: Transfer RNA (tRNA) molecules are approximately 80 nucleotides in length. Their secondary structure includes four short double-helical elements and three loops (D, anti-codon, and T loops). RNAcentral also lists the same sequence under 3 other names. The record is from RNAcentral. Lineage: Eukaryota; Metazoa; Chordata; Actinopteri; Siluriformes; Sisoridae.
AAGAAAGUGGCAGAGUGGUUAUGUGGCUGGCUUGAAACUAGCUUAUUGGGGUUCAAUUCCCUUCUUUCUCG